Molecule: ribosomal RNA, 253 nt
Filed under: uncultured bacterium
Lineage: Bacteria
Description: partial 16S ribosomal RNA
Rfam family: Bacterial small subunit ribosomal RNA
Source: RNAcentral
AACGUAGGGCGCGAGCGUUGUCCGGAUUUAUUGGGCGUAAAGAGCUCGUAGGCGGCUUGUCGCGUCGACUGUGAAAUCCCGCGGCUCAACUGCGGGUCUGCAGUCGAUACGGGCAGGCUAGAGUUCGGUAGGGGAGACUGGAAUUCCUGGUGUAGCGGUGAAAUGCGCAGAUAUCAGGAGGAACACCGAUGGCGAAGGCAGGUCUCUGGGCCGAUACUGACGCUGAGACGCGAAAGCGUGGGGAGCGAACAGG